CGGGGAAGGGGCGGGGGCGGCCGGGCUGGGCCUCGCCGGGCGGGGGUCGCGGGGCCCCGGCCCUGGUCGGCGCUCCGGAGAUGUCCCGGGGCGUCCCCGGUUCGCAGGCGGGUGGAGGGGGUGUCACGGACACCAGGCCGCGGGCACAGCCCGGUGGCCCUGAGCCGCUGCGGGGCCUGUUGGUGCGGUGUAAAGCUCCCAGAGCCGAGGGGCACUCGGGCCUACGGGCACGUGGCAGAACCAACCCCCGCCCUCACCCAGAGCCCCGGGCACAGCCCCUGCGCUCCCGAGCGGGAUCCAGCCUGGAGCAGCAAGGCCGCCGGUCCGGAUCGUUCAGGCUGGAACAAACAGCUCAGAGGUUUGUAUCCCAGUUUUGUCUCCUGACAAACUGGAGACCACCAAAGCCGAGGCAGAGGCCCCCUUGGUCUUUGUUCAGAACACAAGAAAUGGGUUUAAGUGGCAGCGCUGACGAGAGCAACUGGGAUUACUCACAGUGCGGUUCAAAAAGCCAGAGGCUACAAAUAUCCCCAUGAUUCAUGCAAGAGUUUGCCAGAUGGCUUUUCAUGUUUUGGAGUCUGAGGCUUCUUCAGAAGAGAACUGGCACAAAAUAACUUGCUUUUGACAAUACCACUUCUUAAUAACAUGUAAAGGAAGAGGAAACAUUCCAUGCUCCAUCUAUGCCAAGCAGAAGUCCAGCACUAUCCUCCCCCGCCCCAUAUGGACUGGGACAAAGUGUGAAAAAGCAAAAUUAGCAAACAAGCCAUUGCUAUAAUUGGUAACAGGAGUUUGCUCCCAUAAAAGACAACACCUUGUAGGAUGCUAAAAUGUUCUGGCAACAACUGCACAUGCAAUGUCGAUGUUGUAUUUAAUAAUUCUCAUUCUUGGAGAAGCCAAAAGCACAUCACUUCCUCGGACGGAGGCUGAGCUGAAUCACUGUGUGGGUUUUGCUCUGCUUGGACUAUAUGACACUUGGGGCAGUGUUAUACUCUCACUUUGUUCUAAUUUGUUUCAAACCUCAUUGCUUUGCUUAAUGUCGAAUCAUCACUAAUGAGAGGACCUGGAUUGCACAAGAUGCCCAAAGGCAUAUCUAUUUCAUGCAGACUAAAUACUUUUUUGAUCUAAACUUCCAAAAUACUUUGGAAAGGUUGGGAAACCAACUUGCCACAAUUUUUUUUUCAACUAAAACACUGACACAUGAGCCUAUUUUCUAAAUCUUUCUCUUAAACAGUAAAUGGGUGCAGUUUCACAGUGCCUCCAAUAGAUUUAAGUUGGAGCUUCCAUCUCUUUACCGCAGACUGUGUGUCCUUGCUCCCACAUGGAUUUCAAGUGCUCCAGGUUGUGCACUUCUGCUGAGUAGAACUCUCCCCUCACCUCUCCCUUUAUGCCCUCCUUAUUGGAGACCUCACCAAGCCAUAGGACCUCCUCAUCAAUCUCUUCUUGGCCCUGAACAAGCUGUGCCAUAGCAAGAAGCUCAGUGGGGAACACCGAUGCCUGCAGGGUUUGUCCAUCAUGUCCCCAGGCCAGGCACCACUGACUGACAUCCAGGUUCAGUGGUGCUGUCAGGGAUGCUCAAAAAAAUGCUUUGUCUGUUUCAGAAGGAUGAACAUCCAGGUCAAACUAAUAAUCUCAGCAAAGUUGUAAACAAAUUUUGGUUAAUUACAAUCUGAGGUGAAAGUAUAACUUGUCACAUUAUCAUUAGAAUAAUGAGUCCUAAAAUUAAACUUACUACAGACAGGGUGUCCAGGUGAAGAGUCAAAUAUACCUUGUUCUGUGGAGGCUUUAGAAACAUCACCAUGGGAAACCUUUUCUGCAACUACAGGUAUGCAAAUGCCCACUUGAAUUACAUAGGAUUUACUGAUGUAGAAGUUGCUCUUUUGUUUGUCAUAAGAAAUAUUUACAUUUAAACCAGUUCUUUGAAAGCCUCCAAACAUUCUCUUUUGAAAGCAAAGCAGAAACAUUUGCUCUUUUUAAAAAUAAAUCUAUGGUCAAUUAAUAACACUUUGAGGAUAAGUGUGAUACUUCCAAAGGCUUCAAAACAGCAAGCUAAGAUAAGCCUAUGGUCAGGAAGCUGACAUUCACUAUAAGACAUAUGAAAUGUCUUUGCAAACAUUUUGGAGGAGUCUUCAAACAAAAAUUAAAACAGCCUUUAUAUAACAAUAAAUCAUGGUAUCUUUAAAACCAAAUCUGACUGAAAGGAUUCUCAUUUUCUCCCGUGUUGCAACUGCUUUGUAUUUUUCCAGUAAGAAACAUUCAGCAAUGACCUCUGUGGGAUGUGAUGAGUACAACAGCACUUCCCAGACAGUGAAAUCAUUCUGUACUGAUGCUAAUUGCCAUCCUUAUCACAGAAGUCAAAAAGAAGAGAAAGGUAUGUUGAGGAGAGACCGAAGCCAAGGUCUAGAAAGUCUCUGGUUUUCACCCACGAUUCAGCACAAGGUUAGAGAGAGUCAACAGCUUCUCACCUCAUUCCCGAUAUCAGCAAAGGGAUUGCAUAAUGUUAGCACUUCUAAUCUAAGUAGUAAAUCAAUAUAUGGAACCUUGUGAAUUGUUUAUUUAUAUUAGGAGCAGUGGCUGGUGAAAUCAGCUGUUUCUUAAAUACAACCCUGUUUCUUCACAGAGUGUACAGCUAGAAUCAAAACAACAGAAAACAAACUUUGUACACAAACUUGGUCAUUUUGGAGCAAGGACUCCCCCAGAAAAGUUGCCUGAGUUUUGUCUCAGGCUGGUAAAAUUUUAAUGUGUUCCUUUUUCCUUUGUUUUGUUUUCAGUUGUAUUUCUGCUAUUUCUCAAUAAACUUAGAGCACAUCAUUAAAAAGAAAGCAAAAGCUGAA
This is a long non-coding RNA of Neopelma chrysocephalum (saffron-crested tyrant-manakin), 2828 nucleotides long. RefSeq lists it as uncharacterized. NCBI's taxonomy places the organism in Eukaryota, Metazoa, Chordata, Aves, Passeriformes, Pipridae. The transcript is spliced from 2 exons. The record is from RefSeq and is a predicted model, not a curated record.